RNAcentral lists this ribosomal RNA (450 nucleotides) under uncultured bacterium. RNAcentral describes it as "partial 16S ribosomal RNA". It matches the Rfam family "Bacterial small subunit ribosomal RNA", at positions 354 to 796 of the family's 1533-position model. The record is from RNAcentral.
GUGGGGAAUCUUCCGCAAUGGACGAAAGUCUGACGGAGCGACGCCGCGUGAGUGAAGAAGGCCUUCGGGUCGUAAAGCUCUGUCAUCAGGGACGAACGGCCGGUGGAGUGGAAAGCCACCGGAUUGACGGUACCUGAGAAGGAAGCCACGGCUAACUACGUGCCAGCAGCCGCGGUAAUACGUAGGUGGCAAGCGUUGUCCGGAAUUAUUGGUCGUAAAGCGCGCGCAGGUGGGAUCUUAAGUCCAUUUUGAAAGUUCGGAGCUCAACUCCGUGAUGGGAUGGAAACUGGGAUUCUUGAGUACCGGAGAGGAAAGCGGAAUUCCCCGUGUAGCGGUGAAAUGCGUAGAGAUUUGGAAGAACACCAGUGGCGAAGGCGACUUUCUGGACGAAAACUGACGCUGAGGCGCGAAAGCCAGGGGAGCGAACGGGAUUAGAUACCCGGGUAGUCC